AGUGAACGCUGGCGGUAGGCCUAACACAUGCAAGUCGAACGGCAGCACAGUAAGAGCCUGCUCUUACGGGUGGCGAGUGGCGGACGGGUGAGGAAUACAUCGGAAUCUACUUUUUCGUGGGGGAUAACGUAGGGAAACUUACGCUAAUACCGCAUACGACCUACGGGUGGAAGCAGGGGAUCUUCGGACCUUGCGCGAUUGAAUGAGCCGAUGUCGGAUUAGCUAGUUGGCGGGGUAAAGGCCCACCAAGGCGACGAUCCGUAGCUGGUCUGAGAGGAUGAUCAGCCACACUGGAACUGAGACACGGUCCAGACUCCUACGGGAGGCAGCAGUGGGGAAUAUUGGACAAUGGGCGCAAGCCUGAUCCAGCCAUACCGCGUGGGUGAAGAAGGCCUUCGGGUUGUAAAGCCCUUUUGUUGGGAAAGAAAAGCAGCAGGUUAAUACCCCGCUGUUCUGACGGUACCCAAAGAAUAAGCACCGGCUAACUUCGUG
Molecule: ribosomal RNA, 492 nt
Filed under: uncultured bacterium
Lineage: Bacteria
Description: partial 16S ribosomal RNA
Rfam family: Bacterial small subunit ribosomal RNA
Source: RNAcentral